UAGGGAAUCUUCCGCAAUGGGCGAAAGCCUGACGGAGCAAUGCCGCGUGAGUGAUGAAGGUCUUCGGAUCGUAAAACUCUGUUAUUAGGGAAGAACAAAUGUGUAAGUAACUAUGCACGUCUUGACGGUACCUAAUCAGAAAGCCACGGCUAACUACGUGCCAGCAGCCGCGGUAAUACGUAGGUGGCAAGCGUUAUCCGGAAUUAUUGGGCGUAAAGCGCGCGUAGGCGGUUUUUUAAGUCUGAUGUGAAAGCCCACGGCUCAACCGUGGAGGGUCAUUGGAAACUGGAAAACUUGAGUGCAGAAGAGGAAAGUGGAAUUCCAUGUGUAGCGGUGAAAUGCGCAGAGAUAUGGAGGAACACCAGUGGCGAAGGCGACUUUCUGGUCUGUAACUGACGCUGAUGUGCGAAAGCGUGGGGAUCAAACAGG
Molecule: ribosomal RNA, 429 nt
Filed under: Actinomycetes bacterium
Lineage: Bacteria; Bacillati; Actinomycetota; Actinomycetes
Also listed under: 1 other name
Description: Actinobacteria bacterium partial 16S ribosomal RNA
Rfam family: Bacterial small subunit ribosomal RNA
Source: RNAcentral